CUCGGUUGAUCCUGCGGGACCCGACUGCUAUCAGAGUGGGACUAAGCCAUGCGAGUCAACGUAGCAAUACGUGGCAUACGGCUCAGUAACACGUAGUCAACAUGCCCAGGGGACGAGGAUAACCUCGGGAAACUGAGGAUAAACCUCGAUAGGCCAUGAUUUCUGGAAUGAUUCUUGGCUCAAACCUAUAUGGCCCCUGGAUUGGACUGCGGCCGAUCAGGCUGUUGGUGAGGUAAUGGCCCACCAAACCUAUUACCGGUACGGGCUCUGAGAGGAGGAGCCCGGAGAUGGGCACUGAGACAAGGGCCCAGGCCCUAUGGGGCGCAGCAGGCGCGAAACCUCUGCAAUAGGCGAAAGCUUGACAGGGUUACUCUGAGUGAUUUCCGCUAAGGGAAUCUUUUGGCACCUCUAAAAAUGGUGCAGAAUAAGGGGUGGGCAAGUCUGGUGUCAGCCGCCGCGGUAAUACCAGCACCCCGAGUGGUCGGGACGAUUAUUGGGCCUAAAGCAUCCGUAGCCGGUCCUGCAAGUCUUCCGUUAAAUCCAGCUGCUCAACAGAUGGGCUGCGGGAGAUACUACAGGGCUAGGAGGCGGGAGAGGCAAGCGGUACUUUAUGGGUAGGGGUAAAAUCCGCUGAUCCAUAGAAGACCACCAGUGGCGAAGGCGGCUUGCCAGAACGCGCUCGACGGUGAGGGAUGAAAGCUGGGGGAGCAAACCGGAUUAGAUACCCGGGUAGUCCCAGCUGUAAACGAUGCAGACUCGGUGAUGGGUUGGCCUCGCGCCUGCCCAGUGCCGCAGGGAAGCCGUUAAGUCUGCCGCCUGGGGAGUACGGUCGCAAGACUGAAACUUAAAGGAAUUGGCGGGGGAGCA
Molecule: ribosomal RNA, 867 nt
Filed under: uncultured archaeon
Lineage: Archaea
Description: bacterial SSU rRNA
Rfam family: Archaeal small subunit ribosomal RNA
Source: RNAcentral